CCUACGGGUGGCAGCAGUGAGGAAUAUUGGUCAAUGGGCGCGAGCCUGAACCAGCCAAGUAGCGUGAAGGAUGACUGCCCUACGGGUUGUAAACUUCUUUUAUAAAGGAAUAAAGUGAGGCACGUGUGCUUUUUUGUAGGUACUUUAUGAAUAAGGAUCGGCUAAUUCCGUGCCAGCAGCCGCGGUAAUACGGAGGGUCCGUGCGUUAUCCGGAUUUAUUGGGUUUAAAGGGAGCGUAGACGGGUUGUUAAGUUAGUUGUGAAAGUCUGCGGCUCAACCGUAAGAUUGCAAUUGAUACUGGCAGUCUUGAGUACAGUUGAGGUAGGCGGAAUUCGUGGUGUAGCGGUGAAAUGCUUAGAUAUCACGAAGAACUCCGAUUGCGAAGGCAGCUUACUGCACUGCUACUGACAUUGAUGCUCGAAAGUGUGGGUAUCAAACAGGAUUAGAUACCCGGGUAGUC
RNAcentral lists this ribosomal RNA (460 nucleotides) under uncultured bacterium. RNAcentral describes it as "partial 16S ribosomal RNA". It matches the Rfam family "Bacterial small subunit ribosomal RNA", at positions 338 to 795 of the family's 1533-position model. The record is from RNAcentral.